GGCACUCACCCGGCUCGCGCGGCCCCGGCGCCCCACGCGCGCGCGUCGUUCUCCCGCCCGCUCGCUCCCCGGCGCUCACACCUGAGCUCACUCGCGCACGCCCGCCCGGCCCGAGAACCGCGCCGCCGCCUCGGCCCCGCGGAAGCCCCGCCGCGUCAUGUCUUCGCCUCCCGAAGGGAAACUAGAGACUAAAGCUGGACACCCGCCCGCCGUGAAAGCUGGUGGAAUGCGAAUUGUGCAGAAACACCCACAUACAGGAGACACCAAAGAAGAGAAAGACAAGGAUGACCAGGAAUGGGAAAGCCCCAGUCCACCUAAACCCACUGUGUUCAUCUCUGGGGUCAUCGCCCGGGUAAGUCUGGGAGUGUCUGCGGUGGGUUUGAGGCUUUUGCAUGGCAGCAUGGAGUCUCCUGGUUGCUUCUGGUUUUGUUAAACUCUACCUGGAAUAACCCAGCACCACUGCUCAUCUCCUCUGUGGCCAUGGCUCUCUUCAUUGCCGCGUUUCCCCAGAGGCUGCUUCUGCAGACCGCAGGCCAGACUCGCAUCCUUUACCUUUCCAGAGCCGCCGUCUGGUGAGACCCAACAUUGUGACUUAAGCGCAGACCUCCCACCAGUGAACUCCCAUCAGCAAACCCCCGCAGUGAACCCCACAGUAUUGCCGUCCAUAGGGCUGCUGUUCUCAGAACAUUCACUUUCUUAUCAGAGGAUGCCUGAAGAAAGUGCCAGUGUUGGGGACAGCCCACUGUUGGUGGAGCUGUGACCGCAGCCAGCCAACCUGCCAGCCA
Molecule: long non-coding RNA, 785 nt
Filed under: Homo sapiens (human)
Lineage: Eukaryota; Metazoa; Chordata; Mammalia; Primates; Hominidae
Description: non-protein coding lnc-CTNND2-10:1
Source: RNAcentral